GCUGCUCAAAUCUUCACACACCUCUCCGUGGUGAGCAACAGGCAACGGUCUUAUGACUGGCUGAGAUGUGAAG
Molecule: ribozyme, 73 nt
Filed under: unclassified sequences
Description: HDV ribozyme from F. prausnitzii
Rfam family: HDV ribozyme from F. prausnitzii
Source: RNAcentral